Long non-coding RNA from Lycium barbarum (goji berry), 5683 nucleotides. RefSeq lists it as uncharacterized. The record is from RefSeq and is a predicted model, not a curated record. The transcript has 2 exons. Lineage: Eukaryota; Viridiplantae; Streptophyta; Magnoliopsida; Solanales; Solanaceae.
UAGGAAAAAAGAUAAGUAUUCCCUGAGCUAUACCAAAAAUUUCAAAAACACACAUUUUCUUUUCGAAAGUCAACGCACCUUUUCUUGUCGAAAGUCCUAUUACCCUCUAAACUUUUUCAAAAUAGAAUAAAUACCACCCUAAUACCACUACAAGAAAUAUGGUUUUUAGUUGCGGUACUCAGUGGCGACUUUAUUUGUUGCCACAGAUAGUAGGGAUUUUGUAGCGACUAUAUAAAGUUGCCACAAACACAUAGAGCAUUUGCAGCGACCUUUAAAGUCGCCACUGAAUAUAUGCAUUUAGUAGCGACCUUGAAUAGAUCGCCACAAAUAUGUACCAAAAUAGGACUAAAAUUCACGUUCCCGCUAAAGAAAAGUUUGGCUCCAAAAGUUUUUGGGGCGACUUAUACUAUGUUGCCACUAAUAGGUUAUUGUGACGACUCGGUCGCCACUAAAAGUUCAAUUAAAAAAAAAACGAAAAGUCACCAAAAAUGGACAGUAAAAACAAUAAUAGGAAAAAAAAACAAACAGAACCUUUAUUUGGGUCGAUUUUCAUCCAUUUUCCUCUCUACUCUUCCCUCAAUAUAACCAAAAUCCAUAUGCAAAAUUCAAAAAGCCAACAAUGAUUUCUUUCUAAGUUGACAUUUCCGUUGAAGAAAUCAUGUCUUGAACCUGAUUUUGCUUCUCUCUACACACUAUAUUUGGUUAGUUUCUUUCUUUAUUUCUUAAAUCAUUGUGUUAUUUCUAUGGUUUAUCGCUUUGCUUUUCUUUUUUUCCUUGCUUUGCGGUGACAAAAGCUUCUACGGGUUAAGCUUGGAGACAGCUGGAUUUAUGGUUUUUUUUUUGUUUGAAAUAUGUUAUUUGUUUGAGUUGAAGUGGGAGAAAUUGAAGAGGUUGAAAAAGGCGUAUUUGGGUGGCCAUUUGUGGGGUUUGGGUUUUGGGAUUUAGGUAUUCAUGGUUUGAAAAGUUAUUAUGAGAUUAUAUAUAGUUAAGCAUAAAGUUAUUAAGAUGAUGUAAAGUACUGAACUUUGAUUUAUUUUAAUGUUUGGGUUUAAUUAGUGAGUUUGAUGGUUGAGAUAUAAGGUCACCAGAUCACUAAUAUUUUAAAUGUUACUCUCUUUCCUUGUAAAGUACCUCUCUUUCGUUGCACAUCUUGCAUCAUUCAAGUAAUGGGUUCAUGAUUUUUUUUUUAUUCUAUCAUAUGGGUUUUUGUUUGGUAGUCUAGAUGUACCCAAAUGAGUAACAUUUUGAAUUUUGAUUGAGAAUUUUGGAUUCUUGAAAAGAUUUGAGAUUAGUUCUUUGGCAGGAUUGUUGCUUUUAUGGGAUAUGUAUUUAUGUAUUUGGCAGAAUUUUUGGAAUUCAUUUCCGUUCGUCCAAAAUCGAUUCAGGUGAACGGUAGUUCGACGUCAACUCUCGUCGCCCCCGUCGCCCCCGUCGCUACUCUAAAAAAUGUAGUCCUCAACCCUUUUCCUUUAAAUUUUUGUCUUUAAAUCCGUAUUGAUGUGUUUUUAUUAUUGAGUAGUUAUUAAUGAGUGAUUAGUGUGUAUGUGGUUUGUUUGUUUGGUAUUGUUAAAGGUUAGUUACUAUUAGUAAAUAUUAAUUUUGUUUAAGUGUGGGCAUUAUAUACAGUACCUUAGCAUGGUUGUUAGUCUAGUUUCCCUUUAAUUAGUUUAGUUGAGAUAAAUCAAAUAUGAAUUAGUUACUUCAAGUUUAACUGUUCUUCAUAUGGUCCUAGCUGUGUAAGUAUUUUCUCAUUAGUUUAAGAAGGAUGCUCAUCUGAUUCUCCCCUCUAAAUGAAGAUUUAAUUUGUUGAAGUCUUGUUUACCAUUGCAACUCAAUCUUGUUGAAAAUUCUACAUCAUCUUUUUCAGUUUCUCUUCAUUGUUCUAUUUGAGAAAGUAGUAUUGGUUAGCAUGAUCUUUAGGGUUGUAUUAUCUUCUUUUGAGGUGUUGAUAUCUAAAUGUAGAGUCCCUGCUUGAAUAGAAAACAUGGAAUUACUGGAUUCUUUUAAAUCUGAGGUGUGUAUUUUUGUUUAUUAAAAGGUAACUGUUGGAUAGCAUGAUAUCUUGUUCAAGGAUUAGCAAAUAAAAUGAAAUUUAUAGCCAUUCUUGGAGUAAUGUAAAAAUGGCGGAAAAUAACUCACAUUUGAGUUUAGAUUAAGAGAUGGUUUUCCAGUUUCUCUUUGCUGAUUAGUUUGGAGAAAACAACAGUAAUGGUUUAGCAUGCUUAUGUCCUAUUGGAUUUUUUUGCGUAAUUCAACAUAUUAGUUUGUUGAUUAAGGUUUUCAUGUCUCUUUGUCUUUUUUUCCAGAGUUGGCUGUGGUGUAUUUCUUUUAGAAAGCUUAAGUCUGAAUGUUAAAGGAGAAAUUUUGAUCUGGUUUGAGCUAAAACUAAUUUACACUUUCUCUUUCCAAAAUAGUUGUAUAUGCCUUCAAGCAUGGUUGCGCUAUCCUUUCUUUUGACUGAACACUAACUUUAGCAUUAGCCUAUCUUUUUAUUUGAUUUAAAGUAUUGUUUCUAAGCUGUGUUAACAAGCCCAUGUUGAGUUCUAUAUGAUUUUCUGUGAAAUUUUUGCUACUGAUUAACUCAGUUUCUUUGAGUUCAACAUUAUUUCUUUUCAGUCUCCCUUUCCUGACUUGUUUAAAGAAGUGAAAAGAUUUUAUCUUGGUUGUUUAAGGUUUUCAUUCUUCACUUGAGAUGUUGGUUCCUUCUGAAAUUCAGGGCUGAAUAGUUAAGGACAGAGUUGGUGCUCUCUGACUUUUUAGCUAGCACAUGAUAUGUUGAGGUGCUUAAGCAUUGAUUUUGUUUAAUAUUCUUCUUUUCUUUCUGCUUCUUCUGUGGUCAUUUAGUUCUUUGCUAAAGAUGGGAGUAGUGACUAAUAAACCAUGUGAAAACUAUAACUUAGCAAUCUUAACUGGUAAAAAAAUCUGAAUAUGUUUAUCUUAGCAAAUGUGCUUCCUCUUAACCUGCCCUGUCUAUCCUUUUUUGUAUCCCUCAUAUCAUGUUGCCUUAAGCUGGUAAGGAUCAACGUAAGGUGAACUUGGAUUUGGGGUAGUAGAAUGGAAUAGGACCUUGUUGUGCAUUUGAUAAGUAAACUCUAUGUUCAUGUGUGUAUGCAAUCAAAGUGGCAAAACCCCAACUGUUUUCAGUUACUGUCCUCAGAAAGAGGGAACCUUUUUUUUUUAGUAGGGAUCUAGCCCUGUUUAAGGGAAACUGAAGAGAUGUUUUCUUUUGAAAUAAAAUCUUGGCAUGAUCAUAUCUUUUCCAAGUCUCCAGACUGUAUAAGCUAUGUUUUGUUGGUCCUUCAUUAACUUGAACUAAGUGGAAAGUAUUUUUUUUGUUUGUUUCCUUUUUCUCUGAUCAGUUGUCUAUGUCUAAAGGAACUUAACAUUCUUCAUGAUAAUUGAGGUUUAAAGUCAAUUACUAUUUUAUAAGUUUGAAUGACAUGUAUGUGCUUCUAUUCCUUUCCUCCACCUUCUGUCUUCUUUUCCUAUUUGGGAUUUUCAUAAUAAACAUGAGGGAGGUCUUAUAAUUUCCUGAUGUUGUUUGCGGUACUGUCUGUUAGGAUUCUCUAAGAUUGUUGAAGUCCAGAAUUCUCAUACAAGUGUGAAAUCUGUUUGGAUUAAUGAGCAUUAGGUUUCUCUGGUCUGCUAUGUCUGUCCAUUGGUAUGUGCCUGUUGUUGUUUUCUGCCUGAAUGAGACUAGUUGUUGGCUGCUUGUUUGGCACACCCAUCGCUCAUAAGUUCUUCUUGUUUAGGCUGGCUGACCCCUUUUACAACUGUCUCUUGAGUUGCAUUUUUAGGGUAAGGAAAACACUGCAUUCUGGGCCAAAGUGUUGUUGCACUUUCAGGCAAACAGAUGCUACACUUGGAGGAAGUCAACUACUGUAUUUAAGGGCCGAUAAAUUUUUUAGCCUCUGUGAUCAACAGAUUGUCCAUCUUGUGAGGAGCUGUGUUGUUACAUUCUUUUAAAAAAAAAAAAAAAAAAAACUUGUUGCCCUGAAAAGAGCAGCUGCACUUGAGGCCUGAAUCUGCUAAAGAUGAUUGCAAUCUUCAGCUACUGUUACGACUGGUUACUGUAGAAAACUGCUGCUAUGUCCUCUCUAAAGCAGAAGUUGCACUACACUUGAGCUGUUGUGUUAAAUUUUGCCUUGAGUUUCUAUUGUCUGCUGAAAUAUUCCACUUUCAUGGGAAUGAACAUGCUUUGGAAACGAACAGAUUCUUCAGCAAACGAAAACAACUGCUGUUGCUUUUCUUUUAAAGAACAGAAUGCUACGCUUGAUGAAAUUUUACUGAUUUGAACUUUAUACUACAUUUGGGCCAAUGAAAAAAAUUACUUUUUGAGGCCAUGCCUAGUCCGGAAAGGUUAUCCCUCGGUUUAGGCAAUGAUGAUCUCACAGUGAUAUCACGUGGUUGGAACCGACAUGCGCUUGGCAAGGCAACUAGAAUGUCCCCUAGUUUGCAGCCGCGACAUGAUUUUGGUUCUUUUGCCAUAUUCGGAAUCGUGAGUCUGAGCCUAUGUGAUCAAAGACCUCAAAGUUUGACACGAGUUCGAGGGAUAUUAUUAUUUACAUUCAUAAACGUCACCCUAUCAUUUGACUAACUAUUUUCAUUUCAUUCCUGAGAGGUACAUCUAAUUAAUAUGGGUUUGCGAGAUGAGAUUCUACCAAAAACAAAGUGAAGUAAAGUUGAAAGCCCGACUCAGAUGAAGGACUGGAAGAGCAAGAACAAGACUGUUGAAUGAUUUGGGCCCAAGGCCGUAAAAAGCUAAACUCUUCUUCCCCUUCUUGUAGUAUAAGUUUUACAUUAUUUUCUGUAUGAUAUGCAAAUACAUUUGUAUAGAUAUUGAAACCCCUACAGGUUAGAACCCAGGAUUUGGGUAGACGGUGUUUCAAAACUGUAUCCAAAUGAUAAAAGAGUUGUAUUCCACUCUUACACUGUUUCAUUUUCAACUUGUGGUUUCAUUUACUCAACCAGUUAUCAGUUAUAAUAUGCCUGAAAAGAAUGAUAGCUGUAUAGAGGUUGAAGAUGAAGUGUUACUGAAUGGAGAAGCUUAUCAACAAGAGGAAUUUGAAUUUAAUAUGUUGCGUACUGAUGAUCAAGAAAUUGAUAUCGUGGUGUCUUUACAUAGGGGUGAUGUUGAACCACAAAGCAUUAAUUAUAAUGAUGCAAGUGAAUAGGCUCAGAAAAGUGUGCAUAAUCAGGAAGAUGAUUUCAUUGAUGACAACCAAAUAGAUAUGUCGGAGAAUGAAGAAAGUGAAGAAGAGAGUAUUGACAUAGAGGACAGUGAUAUGGAGUGACCAAAGAAAUAGCUUUCUAUCAAGUCACGGUCAUCUCGGAUUUUUGCAGAAAGUGCACAUCCCACUCCAGAGAUUGAAAAUAGUGGUCCAGCAGGGACAAGGUUCUUAAACUAUCACAAAUAGAGACGAUCAAGGAGGAGUUUGAAGACACCUUGUGUUUUAUUUUUGUCAAAGGCAUCGAAGAAGGAGGCAUUUGUAGACAUCUAAUAUUUUCUUGUUUUUUGUCAAAGGUGUCGAAACAAGGAGGAGUAUGAAGACUGGAUACACUUCAUGUUUUAUUCCUUUUGUUAAUAUGUAAAUGCAUACAAUGGCACUAUGAUAAAGUAUUGGGUUGUGUAUGGUUAAUUGACUAUUUAGUAGGUAUUUAUUUAUAAUAUUCGGCUUGAGAA